AGGACGAACGCUGGCGGCGCGCUUAACACAUGCAGGUCGAGCGAGAACCUGGCCUUCGGGCCUGGGGAAAGCGGCGAACGGGUGAGUAACACGUGGGUAACCCACCCUUGGUACCGGGAUAGCCCGAGGAAACUCGGAUUAAUACCGGAUGGCCCAACAGCUCUUCGGGGCGGUUGGAAAAGGUAGCUUCGGCCUCCGACCAAGGACGGGCCCGCGGCGGAUUAGCUUGUUGGUGAGGUAAAGGCUCACCAAGGCGACGAUCCGUAGCUGGUCUGAGAGGACGAUCAGCCACACUGGGACUGAGACACGGCCCAGACUCCUACGGGAGGCAGCAGUAGGGAAUCUUGCGCAAUGGGCGAAAGCCUGACGCAGCGACGCCGCGUGAGGGAAGAAGGCCUUCGGGUUGUAAACCUCUUUCAGGAGGGACGAAGCCACUCGGGUUAAUAGCCCAGAGGGUGACGGUACCUCCAGAAGAACGCCCCGGCUAACUACGUGCCAGCAGCCGC
Molecule: ribosomal RNA, 506 nt
Filed under: uncultured bacterium
Lineage: Bacteria
Description: SSU rRNA
Rfam family: Bacterial small subunit ribosomal RNA
Source: RNAcentral